Molecule: ribosomal RNA, 534 nt
Filed under: Prosoeca peringueyi
Lineage: Eukaryota; Metazoa; Arthropoda; Insecta; Diptera; Nemestrinidae
Description: partial large subunit ribosomal RNA
Rfam family: Bacterial large subunit ribosomal RNA
Source: RNAcentral
AAAAACAUGUCCUUUUGAAUUUAAUUUAAGGUCUGACCUGCCCACUGAAUUAUUGAAUGGCCGCAGUACUUUAACUGUGCAAAGGUAGCAUAAUCAUUAGUCUUUUAAUUGAAGGCUUGUAUGAAUGGUUGGACAAGAUAUAUAUUGUUUCAUAUAAAAUUGUAGAAUUUUAUUUUUUAGUAAAAAAGCUAAAAUUUAAUUAAAAGACGAGAAGACCCUAUAGAUCUUUAUAAUUACUGAGUUUUAUUGAUUAAGAAUAGUUUCUAUUUGAUUUAUGUGAUUAUUUUAUUGGGGUGAUAGUAAGAUUGAUUUAACUCUUAUGAUUAAGAUACAUAAAUUAAUGAUUUAUUGAUCCAAUAUUAUUGAUUAAUAAAAUAAGUUACCUUAGGGAUAACAGCGUAAUUUUUUUAGAGAGUUCAUAUCGAUAAAAAAGAUUGCGACCUCGAUGUUGGAUUAAGAGAUAAAUUUGGGCGCAGCCGUUCAAAUUUAAAGUCUGUUCNNNUUUUUAAUUCUUACAUGAUCUGAGUUCCAAAC